ACCGAGUGCUUGCACUCACCGAUAAAGAGUUGAGUGGCGAACGGGUGAGUAACACGUGGGCAACCUGCCCAAAAGAGGGGGAUAACACUUGGAAACAGGUGCUAAUACCGCAUAACCAUAGUUACCGCAUGGUAACUAUGUAAAAGGUGGCUAUGCUACCGCUUUUGGAUGGGCCCGCGGCGCAUUAGCUAGUUGGUGGGGUAAAGGCUUACCAAGGCAAUGAUGCGUAGCCGAACUGAGAGGUUGAUCGGCCACAUUGGGACUGAGACACGGCCCAAACUCCUACGGGAGGCAGCAGUAGGGAAUCUUCCACAAUGGGCGAAAGCCUGAUGGAGCAACGCCGCGUGGGUGAAGAAGGUCUUCGGAUCGUAAAACCCUGUUGUUAGAGAAGAAAGUGCGUGAGAGUAACUGUUCACGUUUCGACGGUAUCUAACCAGAAAGCCACGGCUAACUACGUGCCAGCAGCCGCGGUAAUACGUAGGUGGCAAGCGUUAUCCGGAUUUAUUGGGCGUAAAGGGAACGCAGGCGGUCUUUUAAGUCUGAUGUGAAAGCCUUCGGCUUAACCGGAGUAGUGCAUUGGAAACUGGGAGACUUGAGUGCAGAAGAGGAGAGUGGAACUCCAUGUGUAGCGGUGAAAUGCGUAGAUAUAUGGAAGAACACCAGUGGCGAAAGCGGCUCUCUGGUCUGUAACUGACG
RNAcentral lists this ribosomal RNA (696 nucleotides) under uncultured Lactobacillus sp. Its description in RNAcentral is "bacterial SSU rRNA". It matches the Rfam family "Bacterial small subunit ribosomal RNA", at positions 69 to 745 of the family's 1533-position model. Lineage: Bacteria; Bacillati; Bacillota; Bacilli; Lactobacillales; Lactobacillaceae. The record is from RNAcentral.